This 317-nucleotide ribosomal RNA is filed under the name uncultured bacterium. RNAcentral's name for it is "bacterial SSU rRNA". It matches the Rfam family "Bacterial small subunit ribosomal RNA", at positions 28 to 346 of the family's 1533-position model. The record is from RNAcentral.
GAUGAACGCUAGCGGCAGGCUUAACACAUGCAAGUCGAGGGGUAUUGGGAGCUUGCUCCCAAGAGACCGGCGCACGGGUGCGUAACGCGUAUGCAACCUACCUUGAACAGGGGGAUAGCCCAGAGAAAUUUGGAUUAAUACCCACUGGCAUAUUUGGAUGGCAUCAUCCGAUUAUUAAAGUCACAACGGUUCAAGAUGGGCAUGCGUCCCAUUAGCUUGNGGUAAGGUAACGGCUUACCAAGGCUACGAUGGGUAGGGGUCCUGAGAGGGAGAUCCCCCACCACUGGUACUGAGACACGGACCAGACUCCUACGGGA